Molecule: long non-coding RNA, 1263 nt
Filed under: Gallus gallus (chicken)
Lineage: Eukaryota; Metazoa; Chordata; Aves; Galliformes; Phasianidae
Source: RNAcentral
CGCAGUUUUCUGCUUUCAAGUUAAAAUGUCAGAAACAGAACACCAAAUAUUUACAAUUCUUAUAAGGAAUGUUACAUAAUGACACAUUAAGGCGUAAAUUCUUUUGGCUUAUAAUUCUGAAAAGAAUGAUAAUAGCAAAAAGUGAUGCAAAAUCUUCAUCGUGAGAUUAUGAUUAAGCUACAAUGUUUUACAAAAAUAUGGUGUAAGAUGGCAAUAAUCCCAUUCAAAAUCCUGCAUUAGGCCCCUCAAGAGAGGCUGAUAAUUUAUACAGUCAAAACUUUAAAAUUUACAUAUAAAGGUACCCUAUCCACCAUUGAAAAGUACAACUCUCAACAUAUACAGUUUUCAGGCCACAGUUUUGAAGGUCUGGAGUAUCAAGUUGGUUUGAUGAAUUAGUCGGUUGGCACUAAUGAACACAUUUAUUGCCUUUCCAUCUUUAAAAUAGGUUUUCAGAGUAUCGCUGAAACUUUUGGAGUAUUUUACAAACUCUUUCUUUUGGUGCUCAAGUGCCCUCCGGUUCUGGUAUUGGUAUUUCUUGAAGACAUUAUUUACUGUGUCAAGAAGUUCCUUUAUUGCACUGGCGAUAUCCUUGAUUGUCUGAAGAAACCUCACCCUGUCAUUGAUCUCAUCUGGAAUCUUACUAAGAAUCUGUUUAAGUGCUCGCGCCUUUUCAUUCAGAUCUUGGAAUUCUGGUUCUGGUCUUUCAAUCAUAUAUUCUUCUACAUCAUCCGCUGCCAUACGUAGGAGAGACUCUGUAAAGUUCACAUCCACACUUUUUUUCUCCAGAAUUUUCAUAAUAAUGUCCUGUGUGAGGCCUGGAUUUUCUUUUUCAGCCUUAAUAAAAGCUGCUCUCAGUGUCUGAGCUGCAGACAGAUUUACUCUUUCUAGCUCGUUAAAGACAGGGUACAUAACAGCAUAGAGUGGCAUGGAAACCAUAGAAGUGGUCUCUGCUUCAUUCUUCAUCUCUUCCAUUGUCAUCCUCAUUCAAAGACCCACUUCUGAAGAAAAAUGCUAUAGAAGCAAAAGACUCCUCAUUCACUGAAACGUUUCUUCUUUCUCCUCGUUGUGCAAGAAUAUUUGAAGAACUUGAGAAAUACGUUGUCCUCAGCUCCCCUCCACCCCGCAAAGCCCACAGAGCUCCGAGGGGGCUUCUCCGCCGCACCGGAAGCCCUACGAGGAAGAAGCGUCCGCCGUGUUACCACACACCAGGCGUUGUCCGGAACUAACCGGCAGCCGCGCGGACCCCUGGGAUUUGUAGUCCGC